This 484-nucleotide ribosomal RNA is filed under the name uncultured bacterium. RNAcentral describes it as "partial 16S ribosomal RNA". It matches the Rfam family "Bacterial small subunit ribosomal RNA", at positions 28 to 507 of the family's 1533-position model. The record is from RNAcentral.
AUUGAACGCUGGCGGCAUGCUUUACACAUGCAAGUCGAACGGCAGCGCGGGCUUCGGCCUGGCGGCUAGUGGCGAACGGGUGAGUAAUGCAUCGGAACGUGCCCCGUAGUGGGGGAUAGUCCGGCGAAAGCAGGAUUAAUACCGCAUACGACCUGAUGGUGAAAGCGGGGGGCCGAAAGACCUCGCGCUCUUGGAGCGACCGACGUCGGACUAGCUAGUUUGUGGGGUAAAGGCUUACCAAGGCGACGAUCCGUAGCUGGUCGGAGAGGACGACAGGCCACACGGGGGCGUGGCCAGGGCCCAGGGGACUGCGGGAGGGAGCAGUGGGGAACGGUGGACAAUGGGGGGGAACCUGGUCCAGUCAUGGCGAGUGCGGGGAGGAGGCGCUGGGGGUGGAAACAGGUUUUGUUCGGGAAGAAACGCUUUGGGCUAAGACCCCGGGGGGAUGACGGUACCGGAAGAAUAAGCACCGGCUAACUACGUG